Molecule: ribosomal RNA, 444 nt
Filed under: Triticum aestivum (bread wheat)
Lineage: Eukaryota; Viridiplantae; Streptophyta; Magnoliopsida; Poales; Poaceae
Description: partial small subunit ribosomal RNA
Source: RNAcentral
AAGCGUAAUGGCCCGGGCACUGGUAUCUGCCCCCUCUGUGCUGUUCCCGAGGACUCCAACCACAUCUUCUUCGCCUGCGUCUCCACCCGGUUCCUCUGGAGCUGCUUUCGCGAGAUUGUCGGUGGGAGUUGGUGCCACACCAAUUUCCCGGACUUAUUUGCUGAACUCCAAUUGUCCCCUUCGUCCUCUCGCCACAUUAGGUGGCUCGAGGUUGGGGUCCUUGCCUGGACGCUUUGGACCGUUCGCAAUAAGCUAGUGAUCCAGCGUACUCCUCUUCGUCGCGCUACUGAUGCUCUCUACAAAUUCUCGGGUUUCUUGCAGCUUUGGCGGCCGCUUAGCCGCCCCCUGGAUCGGGACGCCAUCUCUGCCUUCAUCGCCGAUCUCCGCUCGAUGGCCGUCCGCCUGUCGCCCCCGCCGCCGCCGCCUCCGCCGGAGCCUGACUAG